AUUGAACGCUGGCGGCAUGCCUUACACAUGCAAGUCGAACGGUAACAGGUCUUCGGAUGCUGACGAGUGGCGAACGGGUGAGUAAUACAUCGGAACGUGCCUAGUAGUGGGGGAUAACUACUCGAAAGAGUGGCUAAUACCGCAUGAGAUCUACGGAUGAAAGCAGGGGAUCGCAAGACCUUGUGCUACUAGAGCGGCCGAUGGCAGAUUAGGUAGUUGGUAGGAUAAAAGCUUACCAAGCCGUCGAUCCGUAGCUGGUCUGAGAGGACGAUCAGCCACACUGGGACUGAGAAACGGCCCAGACUCCUACGGGAGGCAGCAGUGGGGAAUUUUGGACAAUGGGCGCAAGCCUGAUCCAGCAAUGCCGCGUGCAGGAUGAAGGCAUUCGGGUUGUAAACUGCUUUUGUACGGAACGAAAAGCCCCGGGUUAAUACCCUGGGGUCAUGACGGUACCGUAAGAAUAAGCACCGGCUAACUACGUGCCAGCCGCCGCCGUAA
This 498-nucleotide ribosomal RNA is filed under the name uncultured bacterium. RNAcentral's name for it is "partial 16S ribosomal RNA". It matches the Rfam family "Bacterial small subunit ribosomal RNA", at positions 30 to 523 of the family's 1533-position model. The record is from RNAcentral.